Scylla paramamosain (green mud crab) is the source of this 2889-nucleotide long non-coding RNA. RefSeq lists it as uncharacterized. The record is from RefSeq and is a predicted model, not a curated record. The transcript has 3 exons. NCBI's taxonomy places the organism in Eukaryota, Metazoa, Arthropoda, Malacostraca, Decapoda, Portunidae.
GUGAAGGGUUGGAGAAUGGUGGCUGACUCUUGCAGUGGCGAAGCAGGCAGGUGCAGCAAGCCGGCAGGCCUACACGUGGCAGGUGCAGCAAGCCGGCAGGCCUACACGUGGCAGGCCCUGCACAAGACACGCCUGCCUGCCUGUCUCUGCCUGCCGGCCCUGUCCGUGCACCUGGCAGCCUUCCUCCACAGCUCCCUGAUGACUCCCCACUCACCCACCACUGACAGCCUUCUUGCUGACGCUGCUCCAUUCACCCACCACUCUCUUCCACACACACACUUCCUUCCUGUCUCUUUCCUCAGCCUCAAUUUUUGAAGCCCCAGUCUGCCACCUGUCGUUCUGCCCACCAGUCCCCAGUGCACUGGCUGCGUCCCCCUCGCCGUGACCCCUGUGCCACUGAAGACUUGUGUCAGAGCCCCUCUUCACCUCCAACCCCUCCCCCACCCCUCAGAGUGUCAGCAGGGCAGCCUCAGUGUGUUGUGGUGGGCAGCAGCAGCAGCAGCAGCAGCAGCAGCAGCACUCAUCCCUUCAUCCUUGUGGUCACUCUCCCUGUGCUGGCCGUACCACCCCAGGCUGCAGCCCUCCCCACUGACCUCUCACCUUUCCUGGCUGACCUCACCUCUGACCACUGCCAAAUACAACUUUUUCUCCUUGAUAUUCUGUUAUUUUAGUGUGUGUGUGUGUGUGUGUGUGUGUGUGUGUGUGUGUGUGUGUGUGUGUGUGUGUGUGUGUUUGUUUGUUUGUUUGUUUAUUCAGCUUUAUUUUAUUGAACUACUACUACUACUACUACUACUACUACUACUACUACUACUACUACUACUACUACUACUACUACUACUACUACUACUACUACUACUGUUGCAGGCACAGGUGGAGGGGUGCCUCAACAUGCCAGCCACCUACAACAGUGUGGUGGCGCGGACACAGUUAGCGCAGCAGUUUUACGAGCACGCCAGUGAGGGUCACCAGAACGUGCCGCCAGCUUGUUCACAACCAGCAUCUGCAGCAACAAGGCUGGGCAGUAGUGUUGGGCAACUUGGAAGACGUUGUGGCAGCCUUCAGAGCAAGACAUGAUGCAUUCCAGCAAAACUUUGUAAUCUCAGUGGCCGGGAGGAGAAGGUCGCCCUGCUUCACUUUUUUGAAGAGGACCUGAAGCUACUGGCAAGGAUUCCAGUCUUCCCUGAACUCUUGACACAAGAGGAAGAGGAAGAGGAGGAAGCUGAGAAGAAGAGGAGGACAAGCACAGCACAGAAGAAAGAGGAGGAGGAAGAGAAGGAAGAGGAGGAGGAGGAGGAGGAAGAAGAGGAAGAGCAUGAGAAGGAGAAGAGGGCAGGAGGAGAAGAAGAAAAAGAGAAAGUAAGUUGUUGUUUUUGUUGUUGUUGCUGUUGUAAAUAAAAAUUGUUGAUAUUCUCUCUCUCUCUCUCUCUCUCUCUCUCUCUCUCUCUCUCUCUCUCUCUCUCUCUCUCUCUCUCUCUCUCUCUCUCUCUCUCUCUCUCUCUCUGUCUGACAGUGAGUUAAGUGUCACUGCUGGACUGGAUCAGCGCCAAGGACAGCCAAAGUGAUGUCAGACAUUGCCCAACUCUGCUGCAGAGGACUGGCCCAGCUGUGUGUGUGUGUGUGUGUGUGUGUGUGUGUGUGUGUGUGUGUGUGUGUGUGUGUGUGUGUGUGUGUGUGUACACCAGGGUGUCAGGUAUUCACACCCAAUUCUUGCUGCAUAAUUGUGUUUCUGCAGGAUUGAAUCAAGUUUGUAAUCUUGCGUUGUUUAACAAGUUGAGUUCUCAAAUUUUUUUUUAAUCUGGCUCCCCCUCCCCCUGUGUUAGAAUAUUGCAUGUUUCCAAGGCCACAGGGAGGCUUAGACGGGUUCUCAAGUGUUUCCUGUCACUAAUGCAGAAAUGUUGUUAAUCUGUCACUGCAACUGUAAAAACACCCCUGAAAACCUGCGUCACUUCAACUAAAACCUUAUAAAACAAUGUUUCUCCUGUCAGCACUGCAGAAAUGUUGUUAAUCUGUCACUGCAACUGUAAAAACACCCCUGAAAACCUGCGUCACUUCAACUUAAACCUUAUAAAACAAUGUUUUUCCUGCCAGCACUGCAGAAAUGUUGUUAAUCUGUCACUGCAACUGUAAAAACACCCUUGAAAAUCCGCGUCACUUCAACUAAAGCCUUUUAAAAGAAUGUUUUUCCUGUCAGCACUGCAGAAAUGUUGUUAAUCUGUCACUGCAACUGUAAAAACACCCUUGAAAAUCCGCGUCACUUCAACUAAAGCCUUUUAAAAGAAUGUUUUUCCUGUCAGCACUGCAGAAAUGUUGUUAAUCUGUCACUGCAACUGUAAAAACACCCUUGAAAACCCGCGUCACUUCAACUAAAGCCUUUUAAAAGAAUGUUUCUCCUGUCAGUACUGCAGAAAUGUUGUUAAUCUGUCACUGCAACUGUAAAAACACCCUUGAAAACCUGCAUCACUUCAACUACAGCCUUUUAAAAGUAUUUCUCCUGUCAGUAAUGCAAAAAUGUUAAUAUAUCACUGCAACUGUAAAAACACUCUUGAAAACCCACGUCACUUUAACUAGAGCCUUUUAAAACAAUGUUUCUCCUGUCAGUAAUGCAGAAAUGUUGUUAAUCUGUCACUGCAACUGUAAAAACACCCUUGAAAACCUGCAUUAUUUCAGCUACAGCCUUUUAAGAGUGUUUCUCCUGUGAGUAAUGCAGAAAUGUUGAUCUGUCACUGUAACCGUAAAAACACCCUUGAAAACCCACAUCACUUCAACUCCAGCCUUUUAAAAGAAUGUUUCCCCUGUCAGUAAUGCAGAAAUGUUGUUAAUCUGUCACUACAACUGUAAAAACACCCUUGAAAACCCACUUGACUUGAACUAAACACACACACAAACACA